Dicentrarchus labrax (European seabass) is the source of this 700-nucleotide long non-coding RNA. RefSeq lists it as uncharacterized. The transcript has 4 exons. NCBI's taxonomy places the organism in Eukaryota, Metazoa, Chordata, Actinopteri, Moronidae. The record is from RefSeq and is a predicted model, not a curated record.
AAACAACAUUUCCAGACUGACUGCACUCAGCGCCUGAUCUCAGCAGUCUUUUCUCCAGAUGAACGCCACUAUAACUGUGAAGAUGACACUUGUGUUGUUCUUUCUGGGCUCAGGUUUUUUUCACUUUACAAUGGCAUCAAACCGUCUGAGACUUUUCAGUUGUAAAGAUAGUGGGCUUUCUUGGUAUGAUGCGUUGUCUGAAUGUAAUAUGACAAAUGAAACACUUGUAACUCUGUAUGACGAAGAGGACGCCAAGUUCACAGCCAACUUCACCAAUAGCGUAAUCUGGCUGGGUCUGCGUAAGAGGAGAAAUAUCACUUGGUCAGACGGUACCCCUUACCUAUUCAGGAAUUUUUCUGUGAAUGUAACAAGUGGGGAGCAAAGAUGUGUAGCUACCGACGGACAGAAAUGGAGCAAUUUCAGUUGUUCAGAGAGGAAACAUUUCAUGUGCUACCAUGGUACUAAGUACAUCCUGAUUGAAAAUGAGAAGAACUGGUGUCAGGCUCUGCAGCACUGCAGAAAAUACUACACUGACUUGGUCAGCAUCGCAAACCAAACACAAAAUGAGACAGUGAUUAAAAUGAAAAAUGACACAAGCUUUUGGAUUGGACUCAUGCAUGAUGAAUGGGAGUGGGCGGACAAAAGCUGCUCUUCAUUCAGAAAAUGGAAUACGGAUAGAGACCAUCCAAAAGAUGACAAA